GUGCCGCUAGUGCUAAAAGGUACAAACCACAAUUAGAAGAUAUCAAGAGUUCAUAUUUACUUUUAAAUAAAAAGAACGUCAUUAAUAGAAAUAUUGAUGUCAUAAGCAAUGAUUGCAAAAAUCAUGCAAUACCAAAGCCGGAACCAUUGAAUGAAAUAAAAAGGCGACAACAAUUAAUAAGAGCGAGAGAGAAGUACAAGAGUAAAAAAUACUGGAAUGAGUCGAAAUAUAAAUGCAUUGAAGGUCUCAAUUGGAUAUCAUGGAAAUAAAACAAC
Molecule: long non-coding RNA, 275 nt
Organism: Papilio machaon (common yellow swallowtail)
Lineage: Eukaryota; Metazoa; Arthropoda; Insecta; Lepidoptera; Papilionidae
Exons: 3
Source: RefSeq, a predicted model, not a curated record